This is a long non-coding RNA of Ornithodoros turicata, 300 nucleotides long. RefSeq lists it as uncharacterized. Lineage: Eukaryota; Metazoa; Arthropoda; Arachnida; Ixodida; Argasidae. The transcript is spliced from 3 exons. The record is from RefSeq and is a predicted model, not a curated record.
CUCUGUUUGUACGCCUUGGAAGAUACGACCAGAAGCCGUUGGAUUUCGUGAAUGGAAGACGCUUUUGACAGAUUUGUUUCUGUGCACAAGACAAAUGGGCUGUCGCACUCCCGACGUAGGAAAUGCACGCACACGUCGCUGAGAUCUUAAAAGACAAAGUAGGGUGCGCACUUCACCCAUGCAACUCCAAUGUCUGCUUCAUGGCAGUGCAAGCUUUUACAACCGUGCCCUUGAAUGUAACAAGCCAAAUAAACUGGAUACCAGAGAGAAGUUUCCUGGUUCUUUUGCUACUAUGUUCGC